GACGGAAGGUGCAAGCGUUGCUCGGAAUCACUGGGCGUAAAGGGUGCGUAGGCGGCCGUGCAAGUCUGGCGUGAAAGCCCCGGGCUCAGCCCGGGAAGUGCGCUCGAAACUGCGCGGCUCGAGUGCCGGAGGGGAGAGUGGAAUUCCAGGUGUAGCGGUGAAAUGCGUAGAUAUCUGGAGGAACACCGGUGGCGAAGGCGGCAUCCUGGACCAUGACUGACGCUGAGGAGCGAAAGCCAGGGGAGCAAACGGG
This 253-nucleotide ribosomal RNA is filed under the name uncultured bacterium. RNAcentral describes it as "partial 16S ribosomal RNA". It matches the Rfam family "Bacterial small subunit ribosomal RNA", at positions 524 to 776 of the family's 1533-position model. The record is from RNAcentral.